UACGUAGGGUGCGAGCGUUAAUCGGAAUUACUGGGCGUAAAGCGUGCGCAGGCGGUUUCUUAAGCCAGUCGUGAAAUCCCCGAGCUUAACUUGGGAACUGCGAUUGGAACUGGGAGACUAGAGUGUGUCAGAGGGGGGUGGAAUUCCGCGUGUAGCAGUGAAAUGCGUAGAUAUGCGGAGGAACACCGAUGGCGAAGGCAGCCCCCUGGGAUAACACUGACGCUCAUGCACGAAAGCGUGGGGAGCAAACAGG
RNAcentral lists this ribosomal RNA (253 nucleotides) under uncultured bacterium. RNAcentral describes it as "partial 16S ribosomal RNA". It matches the Rfam family "Bacterial small subunit ribosomal RNA", at positions 524 to 776 of the family's 1533-position model. The record is from RNAcentral.